AUUGAACGCUGGCGGCAUGCCUUACACAUGCAAGUCGAACGGUAACAGGUCUUCGGAUGCUGACGAGUGGCGAACGGGUGAGUAAUACAUCGGAACGUGCCUAGUAGUGGGGGAUAACUACUCGAAAGAGUGGCUAAUACCGCAUGAGAUCUACGGAUGAAAGCAGAGGAUCGCAAGACCUUGUGCUACUAGAGCGGCCGAUGGCAGAUUAGGUAGUUGGUGGGAUAAAAGCUUACCAAGCCGACGAUCUGUAGCUGGUCUGAGAGGACGAUCAGCCACACUGGGACUGAGACACGGCCCAGACUCCUACGGGAGGCAGCAGUGGGGAAUUUUGGACAAUGGUCGCAAGCCUGAUCCAGCAAUGCCGCGUGCAGGAUGAAGGCCUUCGGGUUGUAAACUGCUUUUGUACGGAACGAAAAGCCCUGGGUUAAUACCCUGGGGUCAUGACGGUACCGUAAGAAUAAGCACCGGCUAACUACGUGCCAGCCGCCGCCGUAA
This 498-nucleotide ribosomal RNA is filed under the name uncultured bacterium. Its description in RNAcentral is "partial 16S ribosomal RNA". It matches the Rfam family "Bacterial small subunit ribosomal RNA", at positions 30 to 523 of the family's 1533-position model. The record is from RNAcentral.